RNAcentral lists this ribosomal RNA (253 nucleotides) under uncultured bacterium. RNAcentral's name for it is "partial 16S ribosomal RNA". It matches the Rfam family "Bacterial small subunit ribosomal RNA", at positions 524 to 776 of the family's 1533-position model. The record is from RNAcentral.
UACGUAGGGGGCAAGCGUUGUCCGGAUUUAUUGGGCGUAAAGAGCUCGUAGGCGGCUCGUUGCGUCGGCUGUGAAAACCCGCAGCUCAACUGUGGGCUUGCAGCCGAUACGGGCGGGCUUGAGUUCGGUAGGGGAGACUGGAAUUCCUGGUGUAGCGGUGAAAUGCGCAGAUAUCAGGAGGAACACCGGUGGCGAAGGCGGGUCUCUGGGCCGAAACUGACGCUGAGGAGCGAAAGCGUGGGGAGCGAACAGG